This 236-nucleotide long non-coding RNA is filed under the name Helianthus annuus (common sunflower). Its description in RNAcentral is "sRNA HanXRQr2_Chr13g0590181". Lineage: Eukaryota; Viridiplantae; Streptophyta; Magnoliopsida; Asterales; Asteraceae. The record is from RNAcentral.
UUAAAUAAUUCAAUUAUCUUUUUCUCUCUCUAUCUUCUUCUUCACCCUGUAAGUUACUGGUUUUUACCCUGUAAGUCACCGGCUGAAAAAGAGCAGGUUAAUUUUUUUUCCAAGUUAGGUUAUUUGAGUCCUAGCAUGUUGGAAAAUUAAGAUCUAUACUGUUGAGUUAUAGUACCUGAGAGAUACGUUUGGGCGAUGAAUCUGAAGCAUCAAGGGCCAGAUCUUGGCAAGUUGGA